GCGGGGAUUACCUCAAAGAAUAGGAUUACAGCCUCAAAGGACUUUUAAUGGGAUUAGAGAGCGUGCACCUGGACAGUUACCAUACAGAAUCCGCUUUGUAUUUGCUCUGUUUGACACUUGUCUUAGUGCUAGGCUUAGCCCUAGCCAUAGGUUGGACCCUUGUGGUGCCCCAACUUUUCCCUCGGAUAUACAAAUGUAACACUUAAAUGCUGUAUCAGGAAUUGCAAAGAAGUUAAAGACGAGAGAAUCUGAUUAUUUUGAUGAAUGUUGCUAUUCAAACCCUGCCUUUGAAAAUGGUUGUGCAUGGGAGAACAAACAGAUGAUUACCAUCGGAUGUGAUAUUUGGGACUGGUAUUUUUACCAGCAUAAGCUUUCAGAGAUUAUUGUGGUAAUAUGCAAUGUUUGCAAUGCAACUCUUAUACUACUUCACUGUAAAUUC
Molecule: long non-coding RNA, 439 nt
Filed under: Numida meleagris (helmeted guineafowl)
Lineage: Eukaryota; Metazoa; Chordata; Aves; Galliformes; Numididae
Description: lncRNA (ENSNMEG00000005116.1)
Source: RNAcentral